RNAcentral lists this transfer RNA (65 nucleotides) under Solemya velesiana. RNAcentral describes it as "tRNA-His". Lineage: Eukaryota; Metazoa; Mollusca; Bivalvia; Solemyida; Solemyidae. The record is from RNAcentral.
GUUAAAUUAGUUUAAACAAAAUAUCAAAUUGUGGCUUUGAAGAUAAAUUUUAUAUUUAUUUAACC